Molecule: ribosomal RNA, 443 nt
Filed under: uncultured bacterium
Lineage: Bacteria
Description: partial 16S ribosomal RNA
Rfam family: Bacterial small subunit ribosomal RNA
Source: RNAcentral
CCUACGGGAGGCAGCAGUGGGGGAUAUUGGACAAUGGGGGGAACCCUGAUCCAGCGACGCCGCGUGAGUGAAGAAGUAUUUCGGUAUGUAAAGCUCUGUCAGCAGGGAAGAAAGAAAUGACGGUACCUGACCAAGAAGCCCCGGCUAACUACGUGCCAGCAGCCGCGGUAAUACGUAGGGGGCAAGCGUUAUCCGGAAUUACUGGGUGUAAAGGGAGCGUAGACGGUUAAGUAAGUCUGGCGUGAAAGGCCGGGGCCCAACCCCGGGACUGCUCUGGAAACUAGUGAACUUGAGUGCAGGGGAGGUAAGCGGAAUUCCUAGUGUAGCGGUGAAAUGCGGAGAUAUUAGGAGGAACACCAGUGGCGAAGGCGGCUUACUGGACUGUAACUGACGUUGAGGCUCGAAGGCGUGGGGAGCGAACAGGAUUAGAUACCCUUGUAGUC